GUGCCUCUAGCUCAAUGGCAGAGCGCUGGUCUGUGGAACCAGUGGUUGCGGGUUCGAAUCCCGUGAGGCACCCCG
RNAcentral lists this transfer RNA (75 nucleotides) under Thermorudis peleae. Its description in RNAcentral is "tRNA-His". It matches the Rfam family "tRNA". Rfam says of the family: Transfer RNA (tRNA) molecules are approximately 80 nucleotides in length. Their secondary structure includes four short double-helical elements and three loops (D, anti-codon, and T loops). Further hydrogen bonds mediate the characteristic L-shaped molecular structure. tRNAs have two regions of fundamental functional importance: the anti-codon, which is responsible for specific mRNA codon recognition, and the 3' end, to which the tRNAs corresponding amino acid is attached (by aminoacyl-tRNA synthetases). tRNAs cope with the degeneracy of the genetic code in two manners: having more than one tRNA (with a specific anti-codon) for a particular amino acid; and 'wobble' base-pairing, i.e. permitting non-standard base-pairing at the 3rd anti-codon position. The record is from RNAcentral. Lineage: Bacteria; Pseudomonadati; Thermomicrobiota; Thermomicrobia.